UAUAGAACAUUUAAAUCACUUUACAAUUAUGACGUUUACGUGCCAAGGACCUAUUAUUUAUAAAAAUGAUCUGAGUUGUAUUGUAGAUUUAAAAAACGAUUUUAACAGGAUAAAAAUCAAAACACGGUAUUUGGCAUAAUUUCCUCCGUUCUUCAAUAGCUACAACUGUUUACACUGUUUUUGGAUUUUUUGGGAAGUAAAUAAUAUAUCAGUUCACAAUUAAAAACAACGUUAAUAGAUAUUUAAGGCAACACUUAAACAAACACAGGGAAAGAUGUCCAUGACAGUACAAAUAUGGUGAACAACAAUGCCAAGCAUUUUUUGCUAUUAUUGCUGUCUGGGUACAUAGUACUGGGUUUAUAUUAUGUAACCUUAAGCAAUGGAAACUAUACAGAACAGAAUGAUACUUACAUGACCAAUGUACGCAAUCAACGGAAUACUGUGUCAGAGAUGCUGAAUAAACUGAGCAAAAAGAUGGGGAAACUUCAGUGUGAGAGGCGAAGGCCCACAGUUGAAGGAGGGGGAUAUUGUAAACGAGGUGGGCAUAGUGGAGCAGAUAAAACACUUCUGCCUGCAUUGUCCAAUUUUUUGCAAGGAAAAACUGUUGCAAGCUUCGGAGACGGAACUGGACAGUAUAAAAACGAGCUUCUAAAACUAGGAAAUAUAAAAUCAUAUGAUUCAUACGAUGGUGGACCAUUUUCUGAAGAGGAGAGCAAGGGGAAUGUUAAAUUUAUGGACCUUACAAUUCCUCAAUAUGGACUACCAGUGUAUGAUUGGGUUAUUUCAAUUGAAGUAGCCGAACAUAUACCAAAGCAAUACGAGGGUAUAUUUUUGGACAAUAUAUUCAGACAUGCAAAAGAAGGUGUGAUUUUAAGUUGGGCUGUUCCUGGACAAGGAGGUUUAAAUCAUGUAAACAAUAGACCAAUUACCUACGUAGUUAAGGUUAUGAGUAGCAGCGGAUUUCAACUUGACGAAAAUUCUUCUCAACUUUUACAAAAUUCUUGCACAUUUAAACAUCUGAAACGUAACCUCUACGUUUAUAAGCGAAAUGUACUUAUGGAAUAUCAAGAUUUGUAUGCAUAGCCUAAUACAUGUAUUGAUUCGGGACUGUUUGAUGCUAAAUGUUAGUCAUUUACAUGUUUUAAAAGGUAGAAAAAAGUCCCGAAAAUCACAAAAUUAUAGUACCACGUUCAGCCUCUGGACAGUAGCGGAUGUAUUAGUUUUGUUAGAAUUAUCAUAAGUUGUUUUUGGAGGACGCCUUAUUUCAUUUUUCAGGUUAAAAAUGGCAAAUAUAGGGAUGAUAAAACUA
Mytilus californianus (California mussel) is the source of this 1309-nucleotide long non-coding RNA. RefSeq lists it as uncharacterized. Lineage: Eukaryota; Metazoa; Mollusca; Bivalvia; Mytilida; Mytilidae. The record is from RefSeq and is a predicted model, not a curated record. The transcript has 3 exons.